This is a non-coding RNA of Vicugna pacos (alpaca), 98 nucleotides long. Lineage: Eukaryota; Metazoa; Chordata; Mammalia; Artiodactyla; Camelidae. The record is from RefSeq and is a predicted model, not a curated record.
UUUAAGAUCAACAAUCAGGUCAAGAUGACUAUCACUGAAAAUAAUGGCAAAAAAAUUUAUGUGCACUUACCAAAAAAUAAUCCAAAAAUGUUUCAAAA